AUUGAACGCUGGCGGCAUGCUUUACACAUGCAAGUCGAACGGCAGCACGGGUGCUUGCACCUGGUGGCGAGUGGCGAACGGGUGAGUAAUGCAUCGGAACGUGCCCACGAGUGGGGGAUAGCCCGGCGAAAGCCGGAUUAAUACCGCAUACGCCCUUAGGGGGAAAGCGGGGGAUCUUCGGACCUCGCGCUAUUGGAGCGGCCGAUGUCGGAUUAGCUAGUAGGUGGGGUAAAGGCUCACCUAGGCGACGACUCCGUAGCUGGUCUGAGAGGAUGAUUACGCCACACGUGGGACUGAGAC
Molecule: ribosomal RNA, 300 nt
Filed under: uncultured bacterium
Lineage: Bacteria
Description: bacterial SSU rRNA
Rfam family: Bacterial small subunit ribosomal RNA
Source: RNAcentral